RNAcentral lists this ribosomal RNA (412 nucleotides) under Acinetobacter baumannii OIFC032. RNAcentral's name for it is "bacterial SSU rRNA". It matches the Rfam family "Bacterial small subunit ribosomal RNA", at positions 30 to 442 of the family's 1533-position model. Lineage: Bacteria; Pseudomonadati; Pseudomonadota; Gammaproteobacteria; Moraxellales; Moraxellaceae. The record is from RNAcentral.
AUUGAACGCUGGCGGCAGGCUUAACACAUGCAAGUCGAGCGGGGGAAGGUAGCUUGCUACUGGACCUAGCGGCGGACGGGUGAGUAAUGCUUAGGAAUCUGCCUAUUAGUGGGGGACAACAUCUCGAAAGGGAUGCUAAUACCGCAUACGUCCUACGGGAGAAAGCAGGGGAUCUUCGGACCUUGCGCUAAUAGAUGAGCCUAAGUCGGAUUAGCUAGUUGGUGGGGUAAAGGCCUACCAAGGCGACGAUCUGUAGCGGGUCUGAGAGGAUGAUCCGCCACACUGGGACUGAGACACGGCCCAGACUCCUACGGGAGGCAGCAGUGGGGAAUAUUGGACAAUGGGGGGAACCCUGAUCCAGCCAUGCCGCGUGUGUGAAGAAGGCCUUAUGGUUGUAAAGCACUUUAAGCGA